GACUACUCGGGUAUCUAAUCCUGUUUGCUCCCCACGCUUUCGCAUCUCAGCGUCAAUAAUGUUCCAGUAGAUCGCCUUCGCAAUCGGUAUUCCUUCUGAUCUCUACGGAUUUUACCCCUACACCAGAAAUUCCAUCUACCUCUCCCACAUUCUAGACUAACAGUUUUCAAAGCAGUUCUAUAGUUAAGCUAUAGGAUUUCACUUCAAACUUAUUAAUCCGCCUACAUGCUCUUUACGCCCAGUGAUUCCGAGUAACGCUUGCACCCCCCGUAUUACCGCGGCUGCUGGCACGGAGUUAGCCGGUGCUUAUUCAUAUAAUACCGUCAUUAUCUUCUUAUAUAAAAGGAGUUUACGCACCGAAAUGUGUCAUCCUCCACGCGGCGUUGCUGCAUCAGACUUUCGUCCAUUGUGCAAUAUUCCCCACUGCAGCCCCCCGUAGG
Molecule: ribosomal RNA, 440 nt
Filed under: uncultured Arcobacter sp.
Lineage: Bacteria; Pseudomonadati; Campylobacterota; Epsilonproteobacteria; Campylobacterales; Arcobacteraceae
Description: partial 16S ribosomal RNA
Source: RNAcentral